This 590-nucleotide ribosomal RNA is filed under the name uncultured Syntrophaceae bacterium. Its description in RNAcentral is "bacterial SSU rRNA". It matches the Rfam family "Bacterial small subunit ribosomal RNA", at positions 66 to 632 of the family's 1533-position model. The record is from RNAcentral. Lineage: Bacteria; Pseudomonadati; Thermodesulfobacteriota; Syntrophia; Syntrophales; Syntrophaceae.
ACGAGAAAGUCGGCUUCGGCCGAUGAGUACAGUGGCGCACGGGUGAGUAACGCGUGGGUAAUCUACCCCUCGGUCAGGAAUAACCCGCCGAAAGGCGGGCUAAUACCCGAUAAUACUGACGCUCUGCGGAGUGUCUUUCAAAGAAGGCCUCUGUUUACAAGCUUUCGCCGGAGGAUGAGCCCGCGUACCAUUAGCUAGUUGGCAGGGUAAUGGCCUACCAAGGCAACGAUGGUUAGCUGGUCUGAGAGGAUGGCCAGUCACACUGGAACUGAGACACGGUCCAGACUCCUACGGGAGGCAGCAGUGAGGAAUCUUGCGCAAUGGGGGAAACCCUGACGCAGCAACGCCGCGUGAGUGAGGAAGGCCUUCGGGUCGUAAAGCUCUGUCGGAUGGGAAGAAAUGGGUGGGGGCUAAUAUCGUCCAUCCUUGACGGUACCAUCAGAGGAAGCACCGGCUAACUCCGUGCCAGCAGCCGCGGUAAUACGGGGGGUGCAAGCGUUGUUCGGAAUCAUUGGGCGUAAAGCGCGCGCAGGCGGCUUGGUAAGUCAGAUGUGAAAUCCCUGGGCUUAACCCAGGAAGUGCAUUUGAUA